This 468-nucleotide ribosomal RNA is filed under the name uncultured bacterium. RNAcentral's name for it is "partial 16S ribosomal RNA". It matches the Rfam family "Bacterial small subunit ribosomal RNA", at positions 28 to 507 of the family's 1533-position model. The record is from RNAcentral.
GACGAACGCUGGCGGCGUGCUUAACACAUGCAAGUCGAACGGAAAGGCCCUGCUUUUGUGGGGUGCUCGAGUGGCGAACGGGUGAGUAACACGUGAGUAACCUGCCCUUGACUUUGGGAUAACUUCAGGAAACUGGGGCUAAUACCGGAUAGGAGCUCCUGCUGCAUGGUGGGGGUUGGAAAGUUUCGGCGGUUGGGGAUGGACUCGCGGCUUAUCAGCUUGUUGGUGGGGUAGUGGCUUACCAAGGCUUUGACGGGUAGCCGGCAUGAGAGGGUGACCGGCCACAUUGGGACUGAGAUACGGCCCAGACUCCUACGGGAGGCAGCAGUGGGGAAUAUUGCACAAUGGGCGGAAGCCUGAUGCAGCAACGCCGCGUGCGGGAUGACGGCCUUCGUGUUGUAAACCGCUUUCGCCUGUGACGAAGCGUGAGUGACGGUAAUGGGUAAAGAAGCACCGGCUAACUACGUG